GAGGGUACAGCUCAGUGGUAGCACAUGUGCUUAGCAUGCAUGAGGUCCUGGGUUCAAUCCCCAGUACCUCCA
Molecule: transfer RNA, 72 nt
Organism: Camelus ferus (Wild Bactrian camel)
Lineage: Eukaryota; Metazoa; Chordata; Mammalia; Artiodactyla; Camelidae
Rfam family: tRNA
About the family: Transfer RNA (tRNA) molecules are approximately 80 nucleotides in length.
Source: Rfam